RNAcentral lists this long non-coding RNA (1753 nucleotides) under Monodelphis domestica (gray short-tailed opossum). RNAcentral's name for it is "lncRNA (ENSMODG00000037286.1)". The record is from RNAcentral. Lineage: Eukaryota; Metazoa; Chordata; Mammalia; Didelphimorphia; Didelphidae.
CUUCUUCUUCUUCUUCUUUGUCUUUCUUCUUCUUCUUCUUUGUCUUUCUUCUUCUUCUUCUUCUUCUUCUUCUUUCUUCUUCUUCUUUGUCUUUCUUCUUCGUCUUUCUUCUUCUUCUUUGUCUUUCGUCUUCUUUCUUCUUCUUCUUCUUCUUCUUCUUCUUUCUUCUUCUUCUUCUUCUUCUUUCUUCUUCUUCUUUCUUCUUCUUCUUCUUUCUUCUUCUUUCUUCUUCUUCUUCUUUCUUCUUCUUCUUUCUUCUUCUUCUUUCUUCUUCUUCUUUCUUCUUCUUUCUUCUUUCUUCUUUCUUCUUCUUCUUUCUUCUUCUUUCUUCUUCUUCUUCUUCUUCUUCUUCUUUUUCUUCUUUCUUCUUUUUCUUCUUCUUCUUCUUUCUUCUUCUUCUUUCUUCUUCUUUCUUCUUCUUCUUCUUCUUCUUUCUUCUUCUUCUUUCUUCUUCUUUCUUCUUCUUCUUUCUUCUUCUUUCUUCUUCUUCUUUUUCUUUUUCUUUUUCUUCUUCUUCUUCUUCUUCUUCUUCUGUCUUCUUCUUCUUUCUUCUUCUUCUUCUUCUUCUUCUUCUUCUUCUUCUUCUUCUUCUUCUUCUUCUUCUUCUUCUUCUUCUUCUUCUUCUUCUGUCUUCUUCUUCUUCUCCUUCUACUCCUCCUCCUCCUCCUUCUCCUCCUCCUCCUUCUUUUGUUUGAUAGCUUUGGAAUUUGGCAAUUACAUUCCUGGGAGUUGUCUUUUGGGGGUUUAGUGUAGAAGGUGUUCUGUGAGCUCUGUCAGUGGCUGUAUUGCCCCCUUGUUCUAGAAUCUCUGGGCAAUUUUCUUUGAUUAUAUCUUGUAUCACCAUGUCCAGUUUGGUGUUUAUUUCUGGCUUUUCUGGGAGUCCAAUUAUUCUUAAAUUAUCCCUUCUCCCCCUAUUUUCCAGAUCUAUCACCUUGUCGGUGAGAUAUUUUAUGUUCUCUUCUAAUUUCUUGGUAUUUUGGCUUUGCUUUAUUGAUUCUUGCUCUUUUACACGAUCGUUGUCUUCCAGCUGCCUGAUUCUGGCCUUUAAAGCCUGGUUUUCUUUUACAGUUUGGUCAAACUGGUUUUGUAGAUGCGUGAAUUUCUUUUGCAUUAUUUCCAACUUUUCCUCCCUGAAGGCUUCCAUCUUUUUGGUCAUUUCUGAUUCAAAUUCUUCAUAGGUUUGUGGAGAGUUUCCAUUUCCUUUGGAAGGUUUUGGAGCAUUUUCUUUUAUAUUAUCUUCUGUCUGCUCUGUAUUUUGUAUUUUGGCUCCAUAGAAUGUGUCCAAAGUCGCCCCUUUCUUCUUAUUUUUCUUGGUAUUUUGGGGCUUCUGUGGUUCUGUGGAGUUUGCCAUUUCUGAAUGUGGAGGAUUAGUUUUUCUUGUCUCUGUCUGGUGUUCAGAGGCAGUCCUGGGCAGAUGGUUCUAUGAGCUUUCCCUGGGUUAAACUGAAUAUGCCUCACUGGAACUGGAAUGGAAGGGUCAGACCACGAGGCCACACUCUCCCCCCGGCUCGCUUUCCGGAAGUUGCCUUCAGAAUCGCUGGCCGUGAGGCUGUUUCGUCAGCCUGCAGGGGGAUGGGCUGCAGCUAGCCCAAGCUCUGAGGGCGAGGACUUUCACUGAGACUUGGAUAGCAGGAUCCAGCCCGUGAGGCUGUCUUGCCCGCCCUGAGGGUUGCUGUUGUUUCGACCAGCUCUCUGCAGAGGAAGCCCCAGGCAGUAACUUUCACCGGGACUGUAGAAGGCCUGAGGGUUCUGC